Molecule: ribosomal RNA, 453 nt
Filed under: uncultured bacterium
Lineage: Bacteria
Description: partial 16S ribosomal RNA
Rfam family: Bacterial small subunit ribosomal RNA
Source: RNAcentral
GAUGAACGCUGACAGAAUGCUUAACGCAUGCAAGUCAACUUGAACUUCGGUUUGGGUGGCGGACGGGUGAGUAACGCGUAAAGAACUUGCCUCACAGCUAGGGACAACAUUUGGAAACGAAUGCUAAUACCUGAUAUUAUGAUUUUAGGGCAUCCUAGAAUUAUGAAAGCUAUAUGCGCUGUGAGAGAGCUUUGCGUCCCAUUAGCUAGUUGGAGAGGUAACGGCUCACCAAGGCGAUGAUGGGUAGCCGGCCUGAGAGGGUGAACGGCCACAAGGGGACUGAGACACGGCCCUUACUCCUACGGGAGGCAGCAGUGGGGAAUAUUGGACAAUGGACCAAGAGUCUGAUCCAGCAAUUCUGUGUGCACGAUGAAGUUUUUCGGAAUGUAAAGUGCUUUCAGUUGGGAAGAAAAAAAUGACGGUACCAACAGAAGAAGUGACGGCUAAAUACGU